GGGAGCGUCGUCCAAUGGCAGGGCCCGCGGCCGAUGACCGCGUGACGGGGGUUCGAUUCCCUCCGCUCGUA
RNAcentral lists this transfer RNA (71 nucleotides) under Myxococcaceae bacterium. Its description in RNAcentral is "tRNA-Ile". It matches the Rfam family "tRNA". From Rfam's summary of the family: Transfer RNA (tRNA) molecules are approximately 80 nucleotides in length. Their secondary structure includes four short double-helical elements and three loops (D, anti-codon, and T loops). The record is from RNAcentral. Lineage: Bacteria; Pseudomonadati; Myxococcota; Myxococcia; Myxococcales; Myxococcaceae.